AGUGAACGCUGGCGGUAGGCCUAACACAUGCAAGUCGAACGGCAGCACAGUAAGAGCUUGCUCUUACGGGUGGCGAGUGGCGGACGGGUGAGGAAUACAUCGGAAUCUACUUUUUCGUGGGGGAUAACGUAGGGAAACUUACGCUAAUACCGCAUACGACCUACGGGUGAAAGCAGUGGAUCUUCGGACCUUGCGCGAUUGAAUGAGCCGAUGUCGGAUUAGCUAGUUGGCGGGGUAAAGGCCCACCAAGGCAACGAUCCGUAGCUGGUCUGAGAGGAUGAUCAGCCACACUGGAACUGAGACACGGUCCAGACUCCUACGGGAGGCAGCAGUGGGGAAUAUUGGACAAUGGGCGCAAGCCUGAUCCAGCCAUACCGCGUGGGUGAAGAAGGCCUUCGGGUUGUAAAGCCCUUUUGUUGGGAAAGAAAAGCAGCAGGUUAAUACCCCGCUGUUCUGACGGUACCCAAAGAAUAAGCACCGGCUAACUUCGUG
RNAcentral lists this ribosomal RNA (492 nucleotides) under uncultured bacterium. RNAcentral's name for it is "partial 16S ribosomal RNA". It matches the Rfam family "Bacterial small subunit ribosomal RNA", at positions 29 to 507 of the family's 1533-position model. The record is from RNAcentral.